RNAcentral lists this ribosomal RNA (642 nucleotides) under uncultured bacterium. RNAcentral's name for it is "bacterial SSU rRNA". It matches the Rfam family "Bacterial small subunit ribosomal RNA", at positions 28 to 714 of the family's 1533-position model. The record is from RNAcentral.
AACGAACGCUGGCGGCAGGCCUAAUACAUGCAAGUCGAACGCCUGUAGCAAUACAGGAGUGGCGCACGGGUGAGUAACACGUGGGUAUCUACCUAGCUGUACGGAACAACCGCGGGAAACUGCGGCUAAUACCGUAUACGCCCUUCGGGGGAAAGAUUUAUCGCAGCUAGAUGAGCCCGCGCCCGAUUAGCUAGUUGGUGGGGUAAAAGCCUACCAAGGCGACGAUCGGUAGCUGGUCUGAGAGGAUGACCAGCCACACUGGGACUGAGACACGGCCCAGACUCCUACGGGAGGCAGCAGUAGGGAAUAUUGGACAAUGGGCGAAAGCCUGAUCCAGCCAUGCCGCGUGAGUGAUGAAGGCCUUAGGGUUGUAAGCUCUUUCAGCGGGGAAGAUAAUGACGGUACCCGCAGAAGAAGCCUCGGCUAACUCCGUGCCAGCAGCCGCGGUAAUACGGAGGAGGCUAGCGUUGUUCGGAAUUACUGGGCGUAAAGCGUGCGUAGGCUGUUUUUCAAGAUGAGUGUGAAAGCCCGGAGCUCAACUCCGGAACUGCGCUCAUGACUGGAAGGUUAGAGUCCGAGAGAGGUGAGUGGAAUUCCCAGUGUAGAGGUGAAAAUUCGUAGAUAUUGGGAAGAACACCAGUG